UUAAUAUAUUUUUUGUUGGCAACACUAAAAAUGUUCAUAGUGACCAACAUCAAAAGGACACAACCACUAUAAACAUGGCGGCCACCAGGCAGUGGUCAAUUUUGGGUAUCGUGGCCAUAUGCAUUGGCAGUCCAGUUGUCAAACUCCCGACCCGGAAGAUGACAAAAUAAUGGUGCGACUCCAUGGGCUUGAGAACAAUAAGCGAUCGGAAAGUUCGAAGAGUACCAACACGCUGGCGCACUACAGCAAGCAAGACAUUUUGGAACAGUAUUGUAUUUCCGAACGGGGCCUGGGUGCCUUGGAAAAUGGCGGACACAGCAUUUUCGGGUGCCUUUCUACGCACAGCAACUACUCGUGCUCCUCAAGAAACGCUCCCUCACUCCUUACGGGUUGCCUGAGACAACGCGUCUCCUCAGACGAGAACCUUUACAAGCUCUACAGCAGAAAUCCAUGCGAUUUCGCUCCAUAUCCCAAAAAGCAAUGGUAUCCAUGGUCUCCAAAUAUGACCCUCCAAGAACAAGACCUCCGUAGCUCCUAUUUCCGAAAAAGAACCUACGGGGACCCCCGCCGAUUCACUUGGAUGCCUUCGGAGGAGGAGUCGAUACGCAUGGAAAAACCCCGCUCGAUCACUGACCUCUCUUAUAGAAACAACACGCUAACUCAAAGCAAAAAGCAUGUGAGUUUCGCCCGCUCACAUACCCUCACAUCCUUCGACGACGCCAUGUCCUCUCUUAACUCAUCCUCGAGUCACUUAAACCGAAUAACGAGGAGCCAAGAGCGGCUCUUAGAUUUGCGAAAAUGUAACGAAGCAGCAAUCACGAAACAACCGAAGAUGUCCGAAAGCGGUUGUCCGGUUGAUGCUAAAGUGAUUAAAGGUCCGAUGAAGACUCAAGCAACCCAAACCGAUACUGUUUUGGCGAAAAAAGCGGUACCAUCUGCGCAUAUCAGCUUCAGCCCCAAGUCACUACAGAGGGCUAAAAUGGUUUCCCAGGCCGCGCAAACUAACGGAUUCAAUGGUCGUAAAUUAACCAAAUCAAUCUCGGAGGCCGGCAGUACGUUUGCUUCCCCUUUAAAUAAAGACAGGGGAUUUUUUGUGGAUUAUCCGGACCACGAACCAGUUCAUCGGACUCAAUCGGAUGAGCCGCCACGCUCUCCUUUCUUGACCACCCCGGCCCCGAACCCCUUUAUUCGUGAAAAUCCCUCCCAGAGUGAAACCUCCUCACUAUCGAAAUCGGAGGACCACGAAUCGGAAGACUCCACCGAUCCCAAAAAGGAGAUUUUUAUCGAUUACAAGCCGCAGUUGCCGUACACUCAAACUAAGAAACCGCUAGUAAAAACAUUUUCUGACGGGGUGAUAUUGACAGAGAAAAAGAAUUAUUUUAUUAGUGAGGAUCGGGUGGUGCCGAGUGUUCGACCGACAUACACUUCCAUGAGCCAUGAAAACUUGCAUUUGUUGGAUAGUACCCAGUUAGAGUGUAAGCCGCAUUUCCAAAAAGCCCCAAUUAAAGACGAAGGUGUGUGCCCUAUGCCCUUGGAAGAGAACAUUUAUUCGUCCGUUGAUGCGGGAUUGCAAUCACAAGAUUCUAUCGACGAGGAGUUUCAUGAGAACUACAUGCUAAACAGGUUGUGUCAAAGGCAAGAGUCCAUAGAGACUGAUAUUGAGGCAAUAUGCGAACGAAUAUCUUUGGGAGACGAGUCUAUAGUCCCUUCAGUUUAUUUCCAGCAUACCAAGUUUUCUCCAUUUGCCUCAAAUGAUUCGUUAGCGAACGAAGCAAGGGACCAAUCUGACGACAUAUGGAACGAAUCUCAGGUAACCGUUUUGCAAGUCGACUCUGGUACGGACAAUGGUACUGCCCUCAGUACUUCUGAAACAGUUUCAGCCUCACCUAAAGUUCCAAGUAUAUUAUUAUCACCUUCCUCCAAGAGAAAACACCUGCUCAUGAUGCAACACCAGCAAAAGUCUUCGUUUGACAUGGAUCCUCUGGACGAGGAGGCCGUCGAAGAUGUCCUUAAGCCGAUUUCUAAUGAAAAACCCAUAAAUACGCUCGAAGUUCCAAGGAUGCUCCAGUUCGCCCCGAUUAAACCGAACAAGUCCAAACAUCAAACGUUGAGAUCCCAAUCCCCUUUGAGGUUUCGAAAUUACGGGGAACCCUCUGUAGGCUAUACCACGGCGGAGUCUCCCCUACCGGCCGUCGUUCCCGAACUACUACUGACCGCAACAGAUUCCUGUAAAACCAACACGGACUUAUCGGAGAGUACCACCACAGACGACUACCUAACCGCCAACUCCGGAACCGAUAGUUCCAGGAAAAGCACCUCGUUCCAGGUUGUUCCUUCUCUCUCUCCAUCAGUUUCACCUGAUGCCCAUCAAUUUUUGCACGCUGACCAUAUUUCAAUUAAUGCCAUUUCUUAUGCAAAGGGCUCGCAUCCAGGCACCGGCAGAUCGACUCCGUCCGACGAUAGCAGCUCUUGCGGCAGCUACAGUAUUGAAAGAUCCACCCCGGAUCUAUUAAAAGGAUACUCUGCUACUCCGGACCCACCGGAAAAACCAUCAUGGUCCGACGAAGAGGAGCGCAGUGAAAGACGCUACUCCUCCUCCGGCUAUUACGAGUCCCCGAUGGAAAACGAGUUAAAGAAGCCAAACGAAUAUAUUACAACGAAAUGUAGAGAGGUUAAUUUUAAUUUAAGCACCUCCAAGUGCAGCAGAUCAAAACAGGCAAUUGAGGCGAACAAAACGGCCGGGAUCACGGGAGAGAACCAUAGAGGCAACAACGAUAAGGGCAAAAGGUCUAAAAGUAGGGCUAGAAGCCCUAUGCAGCAACAUAAGAAAAACACACAAGGGCGAAGAUCUCCUUACAAGGACAAAGCCUCCCCAAUCGAGGAUAAGGGCUACAAAGUAACCUCGGACGAAUCUAGUACGGGCCAAGAAUACCUUAACCCGAGAAAAACAAAGAAAAACAAGGAUAACUUACGGCGCAAGUCUUUGCCACGGUCGCCUACUUACCAAAAGAACCAGAAGAAGAGCGAUGUGAGUAAGUACCAGUCUAAUAGCUUACCAUCCAGCUUGUCCAGGAAGAAAUCGAAAAAACACCCGAAGGGAUGGCAACAGCAGGAACACCAUGACAAGAAGAACACGGAAGAGAGCCCCACGACGUCCACUAAAGAUACCAUCACUUUAAAGGCGUUAAGCACUGAAUCCUUAAGGUCAGUUAGUCCGGGGAGCGAUAGUGUUUUUUAUAGUGAUCCUGGUGGGCAAGCGUUGGCUGACCAACAAGGACAUUGUCUACAUUGCGGGAAAGAGGUGGUACAUGAGAAUGACGGUGACACGCCCACGGCCAAGUCUCACCACGGCCACCAACAGCACCAUCACCACCACCAUCAGCAGCAAUUCAUCGUUCAACCUCCGGCCGGAUUCGAAGACUCACCCAAAGUAAAAGUGGAAAAGCUGUUUAAAAAAUUGGAUAAACGACUGAAAUCCGAGGAACGGGGGCAGGGCGAGCACCGACGUUACAAACGCACCUCCGAUAUGCGAGCCAAGUCAGAAGAACGAUGCGGGGGCGCAGCAGCGUCGUCAUCCCAACGAGGGCGACUACGGCCCAUGCAGAAUUCGCCAUUCUGCAGCAAAGAGCAUCUCGCCUCAGCCAACAGUAGCCCGAGCAUCCUGCCGGGAGCGCCCGAGGAGGAAAACGAUCAAGGACUCUACGCCGCCUGCUACGAACCCUCAAGGUGGUUACACGUCGACGAGAAACAGUCCAAUGGGAUCCUUUCACCAUCCGGAUCAGAAGGAGACCGACGCUGCUCGAUAUCAAGCACCGAGUCUGAGCAUGAGCUGUGCAAACGGUAUCAGGGGAUCGUUCACAAGAACGCCCAUCGAAAACCUUAUGUAGAUAUGUACAAACGGUUACAUUUUAAAACUUUUGAUUGUGAUAAAACGAUCGUCGUCCAACGUGAAUCCGGAGAAUUUGGGUUCAGGAUUCACGGUUCUAAGCCAGUGGUGGUAACCGCGAUCGAGAACGGUACCCCGGCUGAAUUAUCCGGAUUACAAGUGGGCGAUAUUAUAAUUACUGUGAACGGUGUGAAUGUUUUAGAUAAGAGUCACUCGGAUGUUGUGCAAAUCGCUCAUGCGGGGAGCGAUAUUUUAACUUUAGAGGUUGCUCGAACCUCUUUAUCGCCCUGUCCAACGAAAAAAGGUGUAUUGGAACCAGGAGAGGUUCUUAGCGGGUACCUGUGGAGGUUGAGCGGACACGGUAGAGGUUAUAAAUCCAAUAAGUGGAUCAGGAGGUGGUUCAGUUUGAGGAGGAAUAGUUGUCUCUAUUUUUAUAAGACUGAUACUGAAAAGCAACCUGUAGGUGUAGUGAUGCUUUUGGACCAAAACAUUCAAGAACUGGACGAUAACGUCGAGCCUUCCAAGUUGAAUAAAUUCGUUAUUUUCAAGAACGAAUAUAGGUUUUAUGUAGCAGCCGAUUCGAUAGAAGAGAGAACCCGAUGGGUGGACGAGAUCCGGAGGUGCGUAAACGAUAACCAAGACAACUACCUGGAAAAAACCAAAACCAACCUGAGCCUCUCUCCCAGCGCCAUAUCAGAUCCGGACUGUUUCGGGUAUUUAACGAAACUGGGCAGCCAAUGGAAGUCCUGGAAUAAACGUUAUUGUGUCCUCAAAGAUGCCGCGUUGUACUUUUACCACGACGCCAACUCCACCAGCCCGUUUGGGGUGACUUUAUUGCACGGGUACAAAGUUCAACUGUCCAGUUCUAUUAAAAAACACGGCUUUGAAGUAUUAGCGCCCGAUGUUACGAAGAAACAUUAUUACUUUUGUGCCGAAUCGGAUUCUGAUAGAAAAAGGUGGAUAUCCGCCAUGGAGUACUCCAUUGACCGUUGGUUGAAACUACAUUAAAGAAAGUCGUGUAUAAAUCGAACGACAACUAGGAAAUUGUACAGUGUGUCCAAAAUUAUAUAUAAAAUGCCAACAAGAUUGAAAAAUUUUGUUUUGUUUUUCUAAAUAUACGAAAACCAAAAAAAAAUUUAAACUACGGGUAGCGUAAGGACCUAAUUUUGUAAUAAGAACCACGCACUGCCAGUGAUAGAUAGAUGUUUUUAGGAGAGUAUAUAGAAAGAAUAUAAUAUAGCUUUGUUUUAAA
RNAcentral lists this unclassified non-coding RNA (5138 nucleotides) under Anthonomus grandis grandis. Its description in RNAcentral is "uncharacterized LOC126740017". The record is from RNAcentral. Lineage: Eukaryota; Metazoa; Arthropoda; Insecta; Coleoptera; Curculionidae.